AUAAGCCUCUCUCGUUUUGCAUGCCUCAUCUUCUCCACCCCACUCACCCUUCUUCACCAUUCAAACCCUAGCCACCGCUCCUUUCACCGUGCACCUCCGGCCGUCGUGAAUCCCACGACUGACACAGCCCUACAUGACGAUGAUCGUCCGGAGGAAGCUGCUGUACUGCAUUCCUUCUCCGCCUCGCGUCUCCAUCCAUCAAUCGUAGCCGCAUGUUCUACCGUUGGAAAGUCACAGCCCAAACGCCCCGAGUCACUCAUCUCAGCCGUCUUCGUGCCCGCCGGUUUCGCCAGUCGUCCGCGCCGCGUGCUCCCCCCUUGCGGAAGCCGAUCUGUGCCUUAGCCAGAUUUGAACCCAAGCCAGGUCUCCUUAGGUGAGCUGCAUGUGAUCGUCCAAGCCGUGACGCCCCCUCUACGUGUGAGCCACGCGUCUCUGUCCCUUCAAGCCAGAUCUGAGCCGCCUUCAUUCUCCACAACCCACGUGCCCGAGCCGACUACCUUGUCAAGCCAUUCCUUGUUUUGGAGCCACUUUUGGUUUAGAACUGUAAUUAGGAAUUUGACUGCCAACCACAGAGUUAAUAUUUUCGUAAAUCCCUAGGUAAGGGGAGAGGCAAGGGCAAGCUGGCGAAUGAUAAGAAGUGAUUGUUGAUCAGUAGUUUUACUUUUUAUAGACAAAGGUAACAAGGGAGGCAGACCGAGGGGCACGAAAGAAGCAUGAUUGUCUUAGGGAAUAUUUUAAUUUGCUUCCGCUUAAUGUUUUGUUUUCUUAUUUCGUUGAAGUACUUGAGAUUGUUUAGAAAAUUUUAUAGUUUAACUUAAUUCAUGAACUGAUGAUUUGUAAGCAUUUCUUUGAAAAAAAAUUUUUAAUUGGUUAUUUGAAAUAAGGCCCGAACUUAAGUUUGUUUUCUUUCAUCAUAUGAUUUCAAAUGAGUUUUAAUAUAUUUUGUGUCAAUCAAGGUCUCUUUGUCAAAAUUAAUGACUUCGACUUAGUUAGAAAAGUUAGGUCUUUACAUCUUGAAACCAUAGGAAAUGUGAGUCAUGCCCUCUACAUCUUAAACUUUUCACACCUUGCACGGUUUCUACAAAUCUUAUAUUCAUGAAGUUCUUCAAUCAACUUGUUUCUAUGCACAAUAAUCUCACUGGUUUCUUUGCAAUUUUAUAAGAAUUGGAGAAGGAAGUUAAAACACUUACUUUUUUAUAUUUAAGUACUUUUUUGCAUACUCUUGCUGUGAAUCACUCCAAAACUCAGCAUCUAAUUAAAUUAUUGACGGAACCAAGAAACCAUGGGCGCAACUCCACAACUUUAGUCCUUUCUCUUUUAGUUGCUUAUUACAAUUUUAUUGUGGAGACCAAAAUUUGAUGUCUUGAAUAAAUAUGAAACGAUUCUCAUUUUUAUUCAUGGUACUUCAUCGUCUAGGAAUGGAAUAUGAAAAG
This is a long non-coding RNA of Cucumis sativus (cucumber), 1433 nucleotides long. RefSeq lists it as uncharacterized. The record is from RefSeq and is a predicted model, not a curated record. The transcript has 4 exons. NCBI's taxonomy places the organism in Eukaryota, Viridiplantae, Streptophyta, Magnoliopsida, Cucurbitales, Cucurbitaceae.